This 253-nucleotide ribosomal RNA is filed under the name uncultured bacterium. RNAcentral describes it as "partial 16S ribosomal RNA". It matches the Rfam family "Bacterial small subunit ribosomal RNA", at positions 524 to 776 of the family's 1533-position model. The record is from RNAcentral.
UACGAAGGGGGCUAGCGUUGUUCGGAAUUACUGGGCGUAAAGCGCGCGUAGGCGGCUUUGUAAGUUAGAGGUGAAAGCCCGGGGCUCAACCCCGGAACAGCCUUUAAGACUGCAUCGCUAGAAUCCGGGAGAGGUGAGUGGAAUUCCGAGUGUAGAGGUGAAAUUCGUAGAUAUUCGGAAGAACAUCAGUGGCGAAGGCGGCUCACUGGACCGGUAUUGACGCUGAGGUGCGAAAGCGUGGGGAGCAAACAGG